CACGUAGGGGACGAGCGUUGUCCGGAUUCAUUGGGCGUAAAGCGCGCGUAGGCGGCCCUGGUAAGUCUGCGGUGAAAGCCCGGGGCUCAACCCCGGGUCGGCCGCGGGUACUGCCGGGCUGGAGCGCCGUAGGGGCAGGCGGAAUUCCGGGUGUAGUGGUGGAAUGCGUAGAGAUCCGGAAGAACACCGGUGGCGAAGGCGGCCUGCUGGGCGGCGACUGACGCUGAGGCGCGACAGCGUGGGGAGCAAACAGG
RNAcentral lists this ribosomal RNA (254 nucleotides) under uncultured bacterium. RNAcentral's name for it is "partial 16S ribosomal RNA". It matches the Rfam family "Bacterial small subunit ribosomal RNA", at positions 524 to 776 of the family's 1533-position model. The record is from RNAcentral.